UUUUUCUAUAGGAGCUAAAGUUAUGUACAUAAAACAGAAAGAAAAGAGAUAACCUCGAUUCAAGUUUUCUUCACCUUUUCAGCAAAACAGUCGAUGAAACCUUUUUGAUUUUUAUACGAUAUAAAGUUUAGAUGGAAGAAAACGCGAAAUCAGAUUAAUUCAAAACACGCUAAUAUAAUUAAUUAUAGAUUAGAAGCAGACACAGCGUGGUAUCUUUUAGAUAAUUUAAAAAUGAAUCCUAAAUACUGUACAAAUAAACAUU
Molecule: non-coding RNA, 262 nt
Organism: Schizosaccharomyces pombe (fission yeast)
Lineage: Eukaryota; Fungi; Ascomycota; Schizosaccharomycetes; Schizosaccharomycetales; Schizosaccharomycetaceae
Source: the annotation of a GenBank genome assembly